RNAcentral lists this ribosomal RNA (743 nucleotides) under uncultured gamma proteobacterium TIHP368-29. Its description in RNAcentral is "bacterial SSU rRNA". It matches the Rfam family "Bacterial small subunit ribosomal RNA", at positions 50 to 781 of the family's 1533-position model. Lineage: Bacteria; Pseudomonadati; Pseudomonadota; Gammaproteobacteria. The record is from RNAcentral.
AACACAUGCAAGUCGAGCGGUAGCACAGGGGAGCUUGCAUCCUGGGUGACGAGCGGCGGACGGGUGAGUAAUGUCUGGGAAACUGCCUGAUGGAGGGGGAUAACUACUGGAAACGGUAGCUAAUACCGCAUAACGUCGCAAGACCAAAGAGGGGGACCUUCGGGCCUCUUGCCAUCAGAUGUGCCCAGAUGGGAUUAGCUAGUAGGUGGGGUAAUGGCUCACCUAGGCGACGAUCCCUAGCUGGUCUGAGAGGAUGACCAGCCACACUGGAACUGAGACACGGUCCAGACUNUUACGGGAGGCAGCAGUGGGGAAUAUUGCACAAUGGGCGCAAGCCUGAUGCAGCCAUGCCGCGUGUGUUAAGAAGGCCUUCGGGUUGUAAAGCGCUUUCAGCGAGGAGGAAGGUGGUGAACUUAAUACGUUCAUCAAUUGACGUUACUCGCAGAAGAAGCACCGGCUAACUCCGUGCCAGCAGCCGCGGUAAUACGGAGGGUGCAAGCGUUAAUCGGGAUUACUGGGCGUAAAGCGCACGCAGGCGGUUUGUUAAGUCAGAUGUGAAAUCCCCGGGCUCAACCUGGGAACUGCAUUUGAAACUGGCAAGCUAGAGUCUCGUAGAGGGGGGGUAGAAUUCCAGGUGUAGCGGUGAAAUGCGUAGAGAUCUGGAGGAAUACCGGUGGCGAAGGCGGCCCCCUGGACGAAGACUGACGCUCAGGUGCGAAAACGUGGGGAGCAAACAGGGUUAG